This is a long non-coding RNA of Nerophis ophidion (straightnose pipefish), 467 nucleotides long. RefSeq lists it as uncharacterized. The transcript is spliced from 3 exons. Lineage: Eukaryota; Metazoa; Chordata; Actinopteri; Syngnathiformes; Syngnathidae. The record is from RefSeq and is a predicted model, not a curated record.
CGUGCACGCGAGUCACGUGACCCAGCCUGGGAGGGAGAAAGACAAGACUUUAGCCGAAACUUGAACAUUCCAAAACUCGACGUCUAAUUAAUUAAAAAAAAGAGCGCCGCAAUUUAUUCAGCGGUCUUCACAAAACACUUGCAAGUCGUAUUGUCAUUCGUCCGGUGUAGAAAGGAGAUGACGAGACGGGGAAAUUCUAUUCAACUCUUGAGGUGCAUGUCUUUGGAGGUGGGAGGAAGCCGGAGUACCUGGAGGGAACCCACACAUUCAUGGGGAGAACAUGCAAACUCCACACAGAAAGAUCCCGAGCCUGGAUUUGAACCCAGGACUGCAGGACCUUCGUAUUGUGAGGCAGACGUACUAACCCCUCUGCCACCGCGAAUCACAAUAUUUUUAGGCCAUAUCGCGAUACACGAUAUAUAUCUCGAUAUUUUGCCUUAGCCUUGAAUGAACACUUGAUGCAUAUA